GGCCAGUUAGGCCCGAACUGGUUGGCGCGGGUCUUGGUUGGUCUGAGGCCGACCGCAUCGAGCUGGUGUGAACCGGAGCACCGUGGGCUAACGGCUCUGUUUCGAACUGGGCCGGGGGAGGGCCUUAGAUCGGAAGCAUGAUCUUGGGUUGAACGUAGCUGAGCUUGGCUGUGCCAUGCUGGGCCAAGCCUGGCUGAGUCAGACCAGGUCGCCUCAAGCCCACCUGGGACCAAUGGGCGUCAGAGCUUGCUUAGAUUAACCAGCUCCAAACCCAAUGACCAUUGCUCUCUUGAUUUCCCCCUCCACUCCCAACAGAGGCAUUUAUCCUGCCUGCCUCGUGUUAAAAAAAUGCCAGUUCUGAGAUUCUGGGAAAUAAGCUUUUUAAUGGGCGUGGAUUUCAGGAUUACGACAGCUAAAUGAGGAGAUGCAUAAAUCCCAAAUAUUGAACUGUCUUCCCUUCACCUUAUUUCCUGUGAACUCUCCCUAUGUCUGCGGCUCUGACAGCUCUUUAGAACCAUCUACAUAGAAACCCACUGAAAUGCUGCCAUCUCUGGGGUGGAGGGAAGUUGCCAAAAAGCAUACGUCCCAUGGAACAAUGGUGGAGUGCGGCAGAAAACUUUGAAUACAGGCAGCAGAGCAAAUCCCUUUUCUUAAAGAAUUACCUCACCCUUCUUGUCUCACGGGAUCUUUGAGGCAGUUUUCAAAGAAAUAGUAUUCCAAGGUCAUUUUAAAAAUACGCUUUUUUUUUUUUUUACAUCUAGGCUUGUCCACGUUAAGUGGUCAUAUGUGCAGUUACUGUAUGUACAAAUGGAAAUGUAGAUGUCUAAAUACUCAUUUGAACAGGCAGUUGUAAUGGCACACACUAAUGAAAAUGUGCUGCUGGUACUAAAAAUGUGGCCAUGCAAAGUAUAUACAUACUUUUUAAAUUCUUAUGCAUAAGAGCCCAAAUCCAAAACCAUAAAUUGCCUUGAAUAAGCUAUUGA
Long non-coding RNA from Dermochelys coriacea (leatherback sea turtle), 983 nucleotides. RefSeq lists it as uncharacterized. NCBI's taxonomy places the organism in Eukaryota, Metazoa, Chordata, Testudines, Dermochelyidae. The record is from RefSeq and is a predicted model, not a curated record. The transcript has 2 exons.